RNAcentral lists this ribosomal RNA (253 nucleotides) under uncultured bacterium. RNAcentral's name for it is "partial 16S ribosomal RNA". It matches the Rfam family "Bacterial small subunit ribosomal RNA", at positions 524 to 776 of the family's 1533-position model. The record is from RNAcentral.
UACGAAGGUCCCGAGCGUUGUUCGGAAUCACUGGGCGUAAAGGGAGCGUAGGCGGCGCGGUAAGUCAGAUGUGAAAUCCCGGGGCUCAACCCCGGAACUGCAUCCGAUACUGCCAUGCUAGAGUGAUGGAGAGGUAGCUGGAAUUCUUGGUGUAGCAGUGAAAUGCGUUGAGAUCAAGAGGAACACUCGUGGCGAAGGCGAGCUACUGGACAUAUACUGACGCUGAGGCGCGAAGGCCAGGGUAGCAAAAGGG